RNAcentral lists this ribosomal RNA (497 nucleotides) under uncultured bacterium. Its description in RNAcentral is "partial 16S ribosomal RNA". It matches the Rfam family "Bacterial small subunit ribosomal RNA", at positions 28 to 507 of the family's 1533-position model. The record is from RNAcentral.
GAUGAACGCUGGCGGCGUGCCUAAUACAUGCAAGUCGAGCGAACAGAUGAGGAGCUUGCUCCUCUGACGUUAGCGGCGGACGGGUGAGCAACACGUGGAUAACCUACCUAUAAGACUGGGAUAACUUCGGGAAACCGGAGCUAAUACCGGAUAAUAUAUUGAACCGCAUGGUUCAAUAGUGAAAGACGGUUUUGCUGUCACUUAUAGAUGGAUCCGCGCCGCAUUAGCUAGUUGGUAAGGUAACGGCUUACCAAGGCAACGAUGCGUAGCCGACCUGAGAGGGUGAUCGGCCACACUGGAACUGAGACACGGUCCAGACUCCUACGGGAGGCAGCAGUAGGGAAUCUUCCGCAAUGGGCGAAAGCCUGACGGAGCAACGCCGCGUAAGUGAUGAAGGUCUUCGUAUCGUAAAACUCUGUUAUUAGGGAAGAACAAAUGUGUAAGUAACUAUGCACGUCUUGACGGUACCUAAUCAGAAAGCCACGGCUAACUACGUG